UAAGGCUGAGACACGACGUCGAGCACCUACGGGUGUGAAGUCAUUGAUGCCAUGCUUCCAGGAAAAGCCUCUAAGCUUCAGAUUGUAAGGAAUCGUACCCCAAACCGACACAGGUGGUCGGGUAGAGAAUACCAAGGCGCUUGAGAGAACUCGGGUGAAGGAACUAGGCAAAAUGGUACCGUAACUUCGGGAGAAGGUACGCUCUCGACGGUGAAGUCCCUCGCGGAUGGAGCUAUUGAG
This 240-nucleotide ribosomal RNA is filed under the name Vibrio parahaemolyticus. Its description in RNAcentral is "partial 23S ribosomal RNA". It matches the Rfam family "Bacterial large subunit ribosomal RNA", at positions 1551 to 1789 of the family's 2925-position model. Lineage: Bacteria; Pseudomonadati; Pseudomonadota; Gammaproteobacteria; Vibrionales; Vibrionaceae. The record is from RNAcentral.